UACAGAGGGUGCGAGCGUUGUUCGGAAUUACUGGGCGUAAAGGGCGCGUAGGCGGUUAUGUAAGUUAGAUGUGAAAUCCCCGGGCUUAACCUGGGAAUGGCAUUUAAUACUGUAUGACUAGAGUAGAGUAGAGGGAAGUGGAAUUUCCGGUGUAGCGGUGAAAUGCGUAGAUAUCGGAAAGAACACCAGUGGCGAAGGCGGCUUCCUGGACUCAUACUGACGUUGAGGCGCGAAAGCGUGGGUAGCAAACAGG
RNAcentral lists this ribosomal RNA (253 nucleotides) under uncultured bacterium. RNAcentral's name for it is "partial 16S ribosomal RNA". It matches the Rfam family "Bacterial small subunit ribosomal RNA", at positions 524 to 776 of the family's 1533-position model. The record is from RNAcentral.